GAAAAAAUUUAAAUUAUAGAUAAGGACGAAAUAGAACAAUCUGUACACAAUUAAAACGUAAAAAAUAGAAAUAGAAUAUCUACUACUAAUAUAUAAAAGUCGAUUACUACCAAAGUUACAAGUUUAUCCUCAGUAGGUUUAAUCACGUUCCACGAUUUAUAUCCAUCAUCGUAAUUACACUAAAAAAAUAUUUAAAAAAAUAUAAAAAGAUACAAGAAAAAAAAAAGAUUAUAUGCUUAAAAAUAGGAAUAAAAAAAUAAAAAAUAAAAGAAAAGAUAAAUACAAUAAAAA
RNAcentral lists this long non-coding RNA (291 nucleotides) under Trifolium pratense (red clover). Its description in RNAcentral is "long non-coding RNA (TPRA_LNC004499)". The record is from RNAcentral. Lineage: Eukaryota; Viridiplantae; Streptophyta; Magnoliopsida; Fabales; Fabaceae.